Molecule: ribosomal RNA, 305 nt
Filed under: uncultured bacterium
Lineage: Bacteria
Description: partial 16S ribosomal RNA
Rfam family: Bacterial small subunit ribosomal RNA
Source: RNAcentral
ACAGCAGUAGCCGCGGUAAUACGAAGGGUGCAAGCGUUGUUCGGAAUUACUGGGCGUAAAGCGCGCGUAGGCGGUUACUCAAGUCAGAGGUGAAAGCCCGGGGCUCAACCCCGGAACUGCCUUUGAAACUAGGUGACUAGAAUCUUGGAGAGGUCAGUGGAAUUCCGAGUGUAGAGGUGAAAUUCGUAGAUAUUCGGAAGGACACCAGUGGCGAAGGCGGCUCACUGGCCCGGUACUGACGCUGAGGUGCGAAAGCGUGGGGAGCAAACAGGAUUAGAUACCCCUGUAGUCCCUGUCUCUUAUAC